AGAAGGCCAGUGCCAGCCCCAUAUUUAGAAGCCAGGCUCAGCUCCAAACCCAGCGCGAUUCCCACGGCAAACCUGCUGGAGAACACAGUGCAUUUCUGGGAUCUGACUUGAACACCACAAUCACAAAACUGCGAACGCCAGAGGAGCAAGAUUGUGCAUGUCUGCCCACUGACACCUUAGGACAUCUGCUGCCUGUGCUUUCUGGAACAGCGUUUCUCGGCUGCAUACAGCUAUUGAGUCCUCAAGACUGAGGACUUUUACUUUGAGCACAGUUCCUGAACAUGUGUGGUGGGGUGUGGGAUUCAUGUGUGCCAGUGGAACCAUCCUUCUCCAAGUUCUGUGACCUUCUUCAGCACCUGGGCCUUCCAGCGGUCUGUAAGCACUGAGAAACUCUUCCUCCAAGUGGCUGGCUAGAUGAGAUCUUCAAAGCCACAGCUCAGAGGAGAACCCAGAGAAUUCCUGAGAUCCGGCCAUGGUGGGACUCAGGCAGCUUAUUCACCGGCCCUCUUGGUAAGUGCCUGCGGCGCGGGCCUGGAGGAGAACCAUUACCUAUGAGCCUACUGCCACAAGGACUGAAAAUCAAGCACCCUUCUCCCACCCUCCCCCAGCAUAGCUACUGGGGAUAGAUGUCUUAGCAUCUCUUGGGACGAUGACCAUUUGCAGAAUAGCAAAUAUGGGGGAUUUCCUUCUAUCUUCUGUUUGAAGGCAAAGGUUGUUUUCACUGUUUUGUUUUGUUAUGCUUCUUUUGCUCUAUUCAGUACUCUCUAUUGGUUUUAUAAUGUUCUAUUUUUGGUUGAAUUUUGCUAUACCUAAUUGACUGGACAACUAUUGUGAAGUUAAAGAGAUAUACCAUUAUUACUACUAUCCCAGUACCCUGCUGUGAAAUCCUGUACCAAUUUCAUUGCAUUGUCUUGAUUGGCUUUGUUCUGUCUUGUGCUGUCAUAUUUUUACUAAUUUCAAAAUAAAAUUUUAAAAAUUCA
This is a long non-coding RNA of Cavia porcellus (domestic guinea pig), 980 nucleotides long. RefSeq lists it as uncharacterized. The record is from RefSeq and is a predicted model, not a curated record. The transcript is spliced from 3 exons. Lineage: Eukaryota; Metazoa; Chordata; Mammalia; Rodentia; Caviidae.